Non-coding RNA from Phascolarctos cinereus (koala), 890 nucleotides. NCBI's taxonomy places the organism in Eukaryota, Metazoa, Chordata, Mammalia, Diprotodontia, Phascolarctidae. The record is from RefSeq and is a predicted model, not a curated record.
CAUCUUACCAGCAGAGUGAGGUUUCAUUCUAGUGCGGAAAAUGAAUAUUUUGGGAUAUAUUGUUAUUAUAACAAAGUCAGGUGUUCAUGCUUUCCGGUACCUGCUAAACAAAAUUACUUGUUAUUUUGGAAGGUGAUACCAACUCCAUCCCGAAGUACCUCAGUUUUGGGCCCUGGUCAGUAACUGUUUCCUUGUUUAUGUUUUGGUUUUUUUAUUUGGGGGGGGGAACAACAGUAGAACCUUGUUCAGCAAUAGGUUAGAAGUGAAACUAAGUGAAGAAAAGAAAUAGAUUAAAUUUAAAGUAAUACUUAACAUUGUGGCCUGGAGCUAGAUAAUGGGGUUAGGAUAGGGGAGAGGAUGAGGGGGGGUUAGAGGUUAGAGAGCAGCUUAGCUAAUCUUGUUAGGAUCAUUUUAUACAAGUAUAUGAGCCCGACAUGUGCUUUUUGAGGAGAGGUGGCAAUGCCCACCUGCCCAAACUGAAGAGAGAGGGUUCACCUAUUGAGCAGCCUGUUCUCAAAGAGAGCACAGGUGAAUCUGUAGAUUUGGCUAAAAAUAAAGGACGUCCAAAGAACAGUGGCAGUAAUCCAUUUAGUAAUGCAAAGAAAGCUUCAAAUUCAGAACAAACAUUAAAAGAAAUUGAAGAUGAACCAUAUUUCAAAGACUUGUUGGAAAUGAAAGUUUCUAAUACAUGUCUUUCUCCCGGACCAGGUAAUUCCUCUACCGGUCCCACAAAGAACCCGUUGAGCUUUCUUCCAACACUAUCUUCAAAAGAUGAUGAUGAAACCUCUAACAGAUGGUUAGAUGAGGAUGGAGGUGAUGAGAUACCUUAUUGUGUUAUCACCUGAUAUCAGUGACUUUGAUAUCAGUGAUUUUGACUCCUCUUCUGAUUC